RNAcentral lists this unclassified non-coding RNA (240 nucleotides) under soil metagenome. RNAcentral describes it as "partial contains 5.8S ribosomal RNA, internal transcribed spacer 2, and large subunit ribosomal RNA". The record is from RNAcentral.
AACCUUAUGGACCUGCGGGCGUAUACCUGCGGAAGGAUCAUUAACCUUCCAAAAAACAGGGUGCGUCGCGGCCCCCCUCCGGGGGCGGUUUGGGGUCCUCCCCUUCACGCGCGCACGACUGCAUCCUUACUUUACGAGCACCUUCUGUUCUCCCUCGGCGGGGCAACCUGCCGUUGGAACCGAAUAAACCCUUUUUUGCAUCCAGCAUUACCCGUUCCGAAACAAACAAUCGUUACAACU